Molecule: long non-coding RNA, 369 nt
Filed under: Homo sapiens (human)
Lineage: Eukaryota; Metazoa; Chordata; Mammalia; Primates; Hominidae
Description: HSALNT0134782
Source: RNAcentral
CCUCUGUAUAAACAAAGGAAAAAUUUCUACUGUAAAUCACCCAAACAAGUGAUAUCCCAGAGGAAGAAAGAAAACAGUGAGGGAGGAAGAUGCCAUCCAAGGGGAAAACAUGUCAGGUUGUGCACAUUAGAUCUGGUCAUUCGCAAGUGACCUCUCUGGGAAGGCAAAGGAUAGCAGAGAUUGAAAAGGAGGCUAUAAAAUUGAGAGCCUAAGCAAAGCACUUGACAGAGGGAAGAACAUGUAACCAGUGGACUCCUUGUUCUCCCAGCACUGCCCUCACAGCCCAAAGAAUUUCUGAACAAAGAGAACAAGAUUCAAGUUUAAAACCAAGACCUCUGCUUCCAUUUCUGUGUUUUCCUUCCCUCCCAU